RNAcentral lists this ribosomal RNA (133 nucleotides) under Teratosphaeria considenianae. RNAcentral describes it as "partial 18S ribosomal RNA". It matches the Rfam family "Eukaryotic small subunit ribosomal RNA", at positions 1700 to 1830 of the family's 1831-position model. The record is from RNAcentral. Lineage: Eukaryota; Fungi; Ascomycota; Dothideomycetes; Mycosphaerellales; Teratosphaeriaceae.
AGUGAGGCGUCCGGACUGGCCCAGGGAGGUCGGCAACGACCACCCAGGGCCGGAAAGUUCGUCAAACUUGGUCAUUUAGAGGAAGUAAUAGUCGUAACAAGGUCUCCGUAGGUGAACCUGCGGAGGGAUCAUU